This 253-nucleotide ribosomal RNA is filed under the name uncultured bacterium. RNAcentral's name for it is "partial 16S ribosomal RNA". It matches the Rfam family "Bacterial small subunit ribosomal RNA", at positions 524 to 776 of the family's 1533-position model. The record is from RNAcentral.
UACGUAGGGUGCAAGCGUUAAUCGGAAUUACUGGGCGUAAAGCGUGCGCAGGCGGUUAUGUAAGACAGAUGUGAAAUCCCCGGGCUCAACCUGGGAAUUGCAUUUGUGACUGCACGGCUAGAGUGUGUCAGAGGGGGGUAGAAUUCCACGUGUAGCAGUGAAAUGCGUAGAUAUGUGGAGGAAUACCGAUGGCGAAGGCAGCCCCCUGGGAUAACACUGACGCUCAUGCACGAAAGCGUGGGGAGCAAACAGG